AAAGUUGACACCUCUGUGCAUGUCAGCACAAGCCCAGAUACUCAGCUUAAAGAACGCAAUGAGACAAUUGUAUCAGAAGAUCAAGCAUCUCAACAAGAGGAAGUAUCAUCACAAAGUCAUCAACCUCUUUUAGAUGCAUCCAUAUCCAUGAAGCUCCAAUCAAGAAUUUCAACUGUUUUGGAGUCUUUGUCAAAGGAAGCUGACAUUCAAAGA
Molecule: unclassified non-coding RNA, 213 nt
Filed under: Hevea brasiliensis (rubber tree)
Lineage: Eukaryota; Viridiplantae; Streptophyta; Magnoliopsida; Malpighiales; Euphorbiaceae
Source: RNAcentral